RNAcentral lists this unclassified non-coding RNA (383 nucleotides) under Hevea brasiliensis (rubber tree). Lineage: Eukaryota; Viridiplantae; Streptophyta; Magnoliopsida; Malpighiales; Euphorbiaceae. The record is from RNAcentral.
AUAGAAACUGACAUUGAAGUAGCAGUAGCCAUGUCUAUUUAAAAGCAUCGGUACACAGAAGAGAAGAAGAAUUGGAAGCAAGCGCUUAAGAAAAAUCAAGCGAACCGGAACAAAACCUCGUUCGUCUGGAAAUACAAAGAUGCAACAGAUACAUAAACAUAUUCGGCCGGAGAGAGAUGGUAAAAUCACAGCGAGUGAAGAGGAUCAAAAGAUGAUUAGCAUUCAAAGCUACUGCUGCUGCGAUUGCGGUCGGGCGAAAAUUGUAGAAUUCAGAGAAAUUAGUGAGCAGGAAGGAUAAGCCAAUGGUGUGGAGCAAGCGAGCGAAUAUGAGAGAGAGAAAGAGAGCCAACAAAAUGGCAAGGAGAUAAUCUAGAGAGAGAGAG